GGGGGGGGGGGGGGUCGGGGCCUCUGCCCUGCUGCCGCAAUCUGAGUCCAUCCAGGCGGGAGGCAGGCAGGUGUGCCCCUCGCCGGCCUUGCUCGUUGGCAGAAAUUCGAAAACCGGACAUUUCAUUGUUGUGGAAGGCAAUGGCAGAAGUUGAUAAGAAGAUGCGUGAACUUGGUUUGAGGUUCAGAAAUCCAGAUGAGGGUUGGCUGUUUUGGGUGGCAUAUGGUGGCCGUACUGGCUUUGAUGUGAGGAAAAGAUACACAAAUAUAAGCAAAAUAGAUGGUAAGGUGACUUCAUGCAGAUAUGUUUGUUCCAAUGAAGGUUUGAUGUGAGGAAAAGAUACACAAAUAUAAGCAAAAUAGAUGGUAAGGUGACUUCAUGCAGAUAUGUUUGUUCCAAUGAAGGUCAUCGAAGAAAAAAGAAAACAGAACAAGUGACAAAGUGUUUUAGAGCUGAAAUAAGAACUGAUUGCAAAGCUCGAAUAGUUAUUUCAUUGGAUCGAGAAACAGGAAAUUAUGAGCUGAAACAAAGUUGUGAAGAUGAUAUUCUCUGCGAUGAAGAUCUAUUCUAGUCUUUUGGAUAGGAUGGUUAGAUAUAUGGCUUUUGGACAGGAUGGUUAGAUAGAUGCCUUUUGGAAAGGACUAACUAUAGUCUUUUAUGUUCUCUGUUUAGUAUUUGGACAGAGCUAACUAUAUUUUGUGGCCAAAUUGUACAAGUGAAUGUGGCCUUAGAAUAGUUGUUAAAUGGCUACUCAACCAGGAUUGAUUAUGUGAUCAAUGGAUUUCAAUACCUUCUUAUUA
This is a long non-coding RNA of Panicum virgatum (switchgrass), 800 nucleotides long. RefSeq lists it as uncharacterized. The record is from RefSeq and is a predicted model, not a curated record. NCBI's taxonomy places the organism in Eukaryota, Viridiplantae, Streptophyta, Magnoliopsida, Poales, Poaceae. The transcript has 2 exons.